This 460-nucleotide ribosomal RNA is filed under the name uncultured bacterium. RNAcentral describes it as "partial 16S ribosomal RNA". It matches the Rfam family "Bacterial small subunit ribosomal RNA", at positions 338 to 795 of the family's 1533-position model. The record is from RNAcentral.
CCUACGGGUGGCAGCAGUGAGGAAUAUUGGUCAAUGGGCGCGAGCCUGAACCAGCCAAGUAGCGUGAAGGAUGACUGCCCUCCGGGUUGUAAACUUCUUUUAUAAAGGAAUAUAGUGAGGCACGUGUUCCUGUUUAUCUGUACUUUAUGAAUAAGGCUCUGCUAACUCCGUGCCAUCAGCCGCGGUAAUACGAAGGAUCCGCUCGUUGUCCGGAUUUGUUGGGUUUAAAGGGAGCGUAGAGGGGUUGUUAAUUCAGUUGUGAAAGGUUGCGGCUUAACUGUAAAAUUGCAAUUGAUACUGGCAGUCUUGAGUACAGUUGAGGUAGGCGGAAUUCGUGGUGGAGCGGUGAAAUGCUUAGAUAUUACGAAGAACUCCGAUUGCGAAGGCAGCUUACUAAACUGCCACUGACACUGAUGCUCGAAAGUGUGGGUAGCAAACAGGAUUAGAUACCCCAGUAGUC